This 468-nucleotide ribosomal RNA is filed under the name uncultured bacterium. RNAcentral describes it as "partial 16S ribosomal RNA". It matches the Rfam family "Bacterial small subunit ribosomal RNA", at positions 28 to 507 of the family's 1533-position model. The record is from RNAcentral.
GAUGAACGCUGGCGGCGUGCUUAACACAUGCAAGUCGAACGGUGAAGGCGGAGCUUGCUCUGCUGGAUCAGUGGCGAACGUGUGAGUAACACGUGAGCAAUCUGCCCCUGACUCUGGGAUAAGCGCUGGAAACGGCGUCUAAUACUGGAUACGAGCUGCGAAGGCAUCUUCAGCAGCUGGAAAGAAUUUCGGUCAGGGAUGAGCUCGCGGCCUAUCAGCUUGUUGGUGAGGUAAUGGCUCACCAAGGCGUCGACGGGUAGCCGGCCUGAGAGGGUGACCGGCCACACUGGGACUGAGACACGGCCCAGACUCCUACGGGAGGCAGCAGUGGGGAAUAUUGCACAAUGGGCGAAAGCCUGAUGCAGCAACGCCGCGUGAGGGACGACGGCCUUCGGGUUGUAAACCUCUUUUAGCAGGGAAGAAGCGAAAGUGACGGUACCUGCAGAAAAAGCGCCGGCUAACUACGUG